GACGAACGCUGGCGGCGUGCCUAAUACAUGCAAGUUGAGCGCUGAAGGUUGGUACUUGUACCAACUGGAUGAGCAGCGAACGGGUGAGUAACGCGUGGGGAAUCUGCCUUUGAGCGGGGGACAACAUUUGGAAACGAAUGCUAAUACCGCAUAAAAACUUUAAACACAAGUUUUAAGUUUGAAAGAUGCAAUUGCAUCACUCGAAGAUGAUCCCGCGUUGUAUUAGCUAGUUGGUGAGGUAAAGGCCCACCAAGGCGAUGAUACAUAGCCGACCUGAGAGGGUGAUCGGCCACAUUGGGACUGAGACACGGCCCAAACUCCUACGGGAGGCAGCAGUAGGGAAUCUUCGGCAAUGGACGAAAGUCUGACCGAGCAACGCCGCGUGAGUGAAGAAGGUUUUCGGAUCGUAAAACUCUGUUGGUAGAGAAGAGCGUUGGUGAGAGUGGAAAGCUCAUCAAGUGACGGUAACUACCCAGAAAGGGACGGCUAACUACGUG
RNAcentral lists this ribosomal RNA (497 nucleotides) under uncultured bacterium. RNAcentral's name for it is "partial 16S ribosomal RNA". It matches the Rfam family "Bacterial small subunit ribosomal RNA", at positions 28 to 507 of the family's 1533-position model. The record is from RNAcentral.